Molecule: non-coding RNA, 99 nt
Organism: Siansivirga zeaxanthinifaciens CC-SAMT-1
Lineage: Bacteria; Pseudomonadati; Bacteroidota; Flavobacteriia; Flavobacteriales; Flavobacteriaceae
Source: Rfam
GUUACGAGUUAGCUAUAUGGAGAAGUCAGCAGAGGUCAUAGUACCUAUAGGAAACGAGCAGGGGUCAUACCUCUGAUGGACUCACAGGUAGGGAAGGAC